This 546-nucleotide ribosomal RNA is filed under the name uncultured bacterium. RNAcentral describes it as "bacterial SSU rRNA". It matches the Rfam family "Bacterial small subunit ribosomal RNA", at positions 356 to 896 of the family's 1533-position model. The record is from RNAcentral.
GGGGAAUAUUGCGCAAUGGGGGCAACCCUGACGCAGCCAUGCCGCGUGAAUGAAGAAGGCCUUCGGGUUGUAAAGUUCUUUCGGUAGCGAGGAAGGCAUUUAGUUUAAUAGACUAGAUGAUUGACGUUAACUACAGAAGAAGCACCGGCUAACUCCGUGCCAGCAGCCGCGGUAAUACGGAGGGUGCGAGCGUUAAUCGGAAUAACUGGGCGUAAAGGGCACGCAGGCGGUGACUUAAGUGAGGUGUGAAAGCCCCGGGCUUAACCUGAGAAUUGCAUUUCAUACUGGGUCGCUAGAGUACUUUAGGGAGGGGUAGAAUUCCACGUGUAGCGGUGAAAUGCGUAGAGAUGUGGAGGAAUACCGAAGGCGAAGGCAGCCCCUUGGGAAUGUACUGACGCUCAUGUGCGAAAGCGUGGGGAGCAAACAGGAUUAGAUACCCUGGUAGUCCACGCUGUAAACGAUGUCGAUUUGGGGGUUGAGCUUUGAGCUUGGCGCCCGUAGCUAACGUGAUAAAUCGACCGCCUGGGGAGUACGGCCGCAAGGUUA